RNAcentral lists this long non-coding RNA (467 nucleotides) under Ictidomys tridecemlineatus (thirteen-lined ground squirrel). Its description in RNAcentral is "lncRNA (ENSSTOG00000034446.1)". The record is from RNAcentral. Lineage: Eukaryota; Metazoa; Chordata; Mammalia; Rodentia; Sciuridae.
UUUUCUAGACAGAUGAGAACGGCGGCGAGUUAUCUUUAACUGCUCCUGGAUUCCAGAGGACAACAGGCACAGAUGGCGGGACUGGCCCAGGGCGGCACAGCACGAUCCAGCCUGCCGCUGUCUCCAAAGCAUCACAUGGGGAGGUGCAGAGAUGGACACCACCUAGACCCCGACCCAGAGGGCUGGGGCCGCCAGACCCUGAAGUCCCUGGAGGCAGAGACUGGGCCUGGCCAUCCUGCCGAUCCCACACACCACAGCACGGCUGCUGCUCGGAGCACAUUCUCAGGAAAGACUAGAAGAGCCGGUGAACCGAGUGGAAUUGAAAAAGAAAGCGCUCUUGAGAAGAGCCGUCUGUGCAUUCCAGGGCGCUGCCUCCCUCUGGGCGCCUGCCUGGUCCUCUACCCAUUGUCCACCACCAUCACCACCACCACCACCAUCACCAUCACCAGUAUCACCACCACCAUCAC